Molecule: ribosomal RNA, 426 nt
Filed under: uncultured bacterium
Lineage: Bacteria
Description: bacterial SSU rRNA
Rfam family: Bacterial small subunit ribosomal RNA
Source: RNAcentral
UCGAGAAUCUUCGGCAAUGAGCGCAAGCUUGACCGAGCGACGCCGCGUGCGGGAUGAAGGCCCUCGGGUUGUAAACCGCUGUCGUAGGGGAGGAAAUCUGACCGGGGUUCUCCCCGGUAGUUGACCUAUCCUAGGAGGAAGUACGGGCUAAGUUCGUGCCAGCAGCCGCGGUAACACGAACCGUACGAACGUUAUUCGGAAUCACUGGGCUUAAAGGGUUUGUAGGCGGCCUUGCAAGUGGGGUGUGAAAUCCCUCGGCUCAACCGAGGAAUAGCGCUCCAAACUGCAUGGCUUGAGGGAGACAGGGGUAAGCGGAACUGAUGGUGGAGCGGUGAAAUGCGUUGAUAUCAUCAGGAACACCGGUGGCGAAAGCGGCUUACUGGGUCUCUUCUGACGCUGAGAAACGAAAGCUAGGGUAGCGAACGG